RNAcentral lists this ribosomal RNA (446 nucleotides) under uncultured bacterium. RNAcentral describes it as "bacterial SSU rRNA". It matches the Rfam family "Bacterial small subunit ribosomal RNA", at positions 329 to 792 of the family's 1533-position model. The record is from RNAcentral.
UGCCAGACUCCUACGGGAGGCAGCAGUGGGGAAUAUUGCACAAUGGGGGAAACCCUGAUGCAGCGACGCCGCGUGAGCGAUGAAGUAUUUCGGUAUGUAAAGCUCUAUCAGCAGGGAAGAAAAUGACGGUACCUGACUAAGAAGCCCCGGCUAACUACGUGCCAGCAGCCGCGGUAAUACGUAGGGGGCAAGCGUUAUCCGGAUUUACUGGGUGUAAAGGGAGCGUAGACGGUUAUGCAAGUCUGAAGUGAAAGCCCAAGGCUCAACCAUGGGACUGCUUUGGAAACUGUAAAACUGGAGUGCAGGAGAGGUAAGCGGAAUUCCUAGUGUAGCGGUGAAAUGCGUAGAUAUUAGGAGGAACACCAGUGGCGAAGGCGGCUUACUGGACUGUAACUGACGUUGAGGCUCGAAGGCGUGGGGAGCAAACAGGAUUAGAUACCCGUGUA